GUAAUUUUAACUUUUAGUAAACUAUUAACCUGCUAUAAUAGGUAAAACAAGUAAAUAGGGACUUUUAUGAUGCUAUAACUAAAGUUUAAAGAUUUUUUUUUAUAACAAAUAAAGUUAGGGCCUGAUAUGAAACAUCCCUAUAAAGUUUAUGGACAAUGAGUGGAAAUUACCUAUUAAAAGGGAUCACGAAAGCAGUCACAUAAGGUUUCUUACAGACAAGUGCUUCACACUGGUGUGCUCUAAUUUUGAGGAUGGGUCUUUGAGUUCAAUGUAAACCAUAGACAAUCAGAUAGAGCAGUAGCAAGCAAGGAAUACCUGUGAAUGCUGGCAAAGUCACAGAAUCUCGACUUGCUGCUCCUUUGAACCGGUAAACAAGAGAGGAACAAAUCUUCUCAACCAGAGACCCAUGAGGAGAGUGUUCAAAUAUUCGUUGCACUAUUUAUCUGAUGUUUUAACUCAUUUAAUGACCUAUUAUUAAAUAUGACAAUCAAGUCAUAAUUAAAAAAUAAUUAAUUUGUUAGUUUUGUUGAAUCUUCAGAUUUAAGAUAACAUGCCUGCUCGAGUUAAGCGGGUCAAACCGUUUAAAAACCCUUAUUUUUAACAUGCAACCCAUUUAUGACUCUUAACUUAUUUAUGUUAAAUUUAAAUCCAUUUAAUUAUGUGUCAAAUCAUGCAGUGCAACCAAAUCGCAUUCUAGUUUCAUCUUGGAGGACAAGGCUAAUUCUUAAAGAGGAGGCAAUGUUAUACAUCAAGAUGAGAAAGGCUUAGCUGGAAAGCUUCCAAGCCAAGAAGCCUCGGGAGUUUGUUUUCGAAGAAACAUAUAUGGAGCAGCAGCAUCUAAAAAAAUGAGCUGGAGAGAAUAAGGAUGAAGGAGCCAAUUCUGUUGAAGAGGAUUACAGAGGAGAUGCCACCUGGAGAUUCGUCAUUGGAUGAAAAAACUGAAGAUCUAUAAGCAGAGCAAGAAAGAUAAAUUGCUUGGACCUAAACCUCGACACUAUUGGAAUGUCAAUGAACAUUAGAUCGCUUCCUCAAUUUACACCACAAUCCAUUCUUGGUAUGAAUUGUUGCCCCUGUGACCAAUUCCACUAAUUCUGGAGAGGCCUUCAGCUCCACAUCAAACUUCUGCAACAACAUAGCCAGUGCUACGGUUGACUCCAUAAGGGCAAAUUGGUCCCCAACACAUUUCCUUGGUCCACCGCCGAAGGGUAGGAAGGCAAAAUCUGAUAUAAUCUGAUGAUGACAACCAUAAGAUUCGUGUUAAAAAAAAAAUGCAAAACACCAUAAUUUAUUAUUAAAAAUCAGAAAGCAAAUGGAAGGAGACCUCAUUUGGGUAUAAUGCUCCUGGGCUCCUAGAUGGAUCAAAACCAGCCCAUCCUUCAAUUUCUUCAUUCUUUCUUUGCACUAAAAACCUUUCUGGUUCAAAUUCAUUAGGCGAGUCCCAAAAAUAUGGGGAUCUAUGAAGAUUAUAUAG
Hevea brasiliensis (rubber tree) is the source of this 1471-nucleotide long non-coding RNA. RefSeq lists it as uncharacterized. The transcript is spliced from 2 exons. NCBI's taxonomy places the organism in Eukaryota, Viridiplantae, Streptophyta, Magnoliopsida, Malpighiales, Euphorbiaceae. The record is from RefSeq and is a predicted model, not a curated record.